This 301-nucleotide ribosomal RNA is filed under the name uncultured soil bacterium. RNAcentral describes it as "bacterial SSU rRNA". It matches the Rfam family "Bacterial small subunit ribosomal RNA", at positions 26 to 329 of the family's 1533-position model. The record is from RNAcentral.
AGAUUGAACGCUGGCGGCAGGCCUAACACAUGCAAGUCGAGCGGUAGAGAGGUGCUUGCACCUCUUGAGAGCGGCGGACGGGUGAGUAAAGCCUAGGAAUCUGCCUGGUAGUGGGGGAUAACGCUCGGAAACGGACGCUAAUACCGCAUACGUCCUACGGGAGAAAGCAGGGGACCUUCGGGCCUUGCGCUAUCAGAUGAGCCUAGGUCGGAUUAGCUAGUUGGUGAGGUAAUGGCUCACCAAGGCGACGAUCCGUAACUGGUCUGAGAGGAUGAUCAGUCACACUGGAACUGAGACACGG